GUCUAAGAGAGGCUGGAAAGCAGGAGUCAGCUCUGCUCUGAUGAGACCAGAGGAGCAAAAGGCAGUGACUGUCUCCUGAUGCCCCUUAAUCUGUGACCACCUAUGGGUCACCCAUCCUGUUAGUUAUUCCUCCUCCCCAAGGGGAGAGAGAUGGGAAAGGUUCACUCGAACCCCCACUACUUUGUAGGCUGGGAAGAGGAAGACUCUCCCUUGGUAGAGAUGUGAAGAAGAGAAAAUGAAGAUUAUCCUCCAAGGAUACUUAACCAAAGUAGCCACUUAACUUCUUCCUUAAAAAGGGACAUAAUUGUCCUUUUUUCCCCCUGCAAUGGACUGAAUUGCACCCCUCCCUAAAUUCAUAUGCUGGAACCCUAACCCCAAAUGUAUUUAGAGAGGAGGGCUUUGGGAGAUAAUUAGGUUCAGAUGAAUUCAUAAGGAUAGUGCCUUCAUGAUGGGAUUACCGCCUUUAUAAGAAGAAAGAAGAGAAAUUGGACAGCUUGCCCACACCUGCUUGCUCUCUCUCUCUCUGCCAUGUGAGGACAUAACAAGAAGUCAAGUCAGCUGUCUACAAGCCAGGAAGAAAGCCCUUACCAGAAUCCACCAUCCUGGCACCCUGAUCUUGGACUUCCAGCCUCCAGAACCGUGAGAAAAUAAAUUUCUGUCUUUUAAGCCACCUGGUCUAUGGUAUUUUGUAAUGGCAGCCCAAGCAAACUAAUACACCUUAGCAAAAAAGGUGACAUUCCUGAUUUUUCACUUUAUUUUUAUCUUGACAUUUGCUAUUCUAAAUGUACUUAUUUUUAAAUUGCAAGCAACCUGAAUUUUUAUAUUUUCUAUAGGCAACUAAUCAUAAACCUGGAAUUCUAAGGCGAACAUGCAUAAGACACGGUGAGCAAACCAAGAUGUUCUCUGGGCAUGACUUGAACAAGCCAGGAUCAGUGAGAACGGGAGUAAUCAGGCACCAAAGAAGGCCCAGAGAGGCUUAACAACUUCCUCAGAAUCACACAGCUUGCAAAGGGUCGGGCUGGGUUUACGUGUAGGCAGUCUGGCUCCAGAGCCGGUACUCCCAACCAUUGCAAGCAACAAACCUCAACGAAGUGGAGAAGGAAAUGCUGGGAAAUUUGGAAGUCAGCCAUGGCCUGUGAAGACCUUUUAAAAUGCUCCGUUUUGGUCAGAAAGUGCUGGGACCCUGGGCUGGCACACCCAACACUCACCAGGAACGAAGUACCUGCUGCCUGUUUUGGACUCGUGUUGGCAGCUUGUUAGCUUUCAUGCCGCCAUUCUCUCUCUCUCUUUUUUUUUAAUUGACAAGACUCUAAUACAAAGUUAUAUUUAUUUUCAACAAUGAAAACAACACAACGUGGAGUCAAUCCACUAUUUAGCACAAUGUUUAGCACAAACUCUACUCAAUAAAUAGAAACACAUUAACCAGGUAAGAUUAUUCCUAAGACUCUCUAGGGUUGUGUGCUUGUUUUAAAGAAAAUUGAGUGGUAGGUAAAUAAAGACUUCCUACAGACUUGACUGAGAAGGGCUCCCUGGCGACCUGAUCUAUUGCCUAUUGGAAAGGGACAGGGCAGGCAGGCAGAGUAGAUGAGGACGGCAGGCAGUGGGCUCCCAGGAGUCUGAGUCCAGCCGGCCAAUCUGUUGAUGAAUGAGGUUGGCUAGACUGUCAAGGAGUGAGAAUUUGUCCCUAUCUAGUUCGCUCCCUCCCUGGCAUGGAGGUAUGGGCACAGAAUGAGUCCUUAGAGGAUGCUUUUGGGGAGAGAGCAGUGAAGACCAAGGUUCUGGGAUGGCCUGAGAGCUCACUUAUCUGGCACGUGGAAGAGCUAGAUGCGUGCAGUCCCUGAAACAUGCACACCAAGUUCCCUUCCCACUGGUCUGAAUGUCUCUCUCAGCUAAUUCUUACUCUUGGAUUCCACUACCUUUGCACUAACAGCUCCUACUGGUGCCAUUUUAUAUCAGCAGAAGUACCUGGCACAGUUGCCUGAGUCAGGCAGGAAGAUCUUUGUGCCCCUCUGGCUGCCCACCCAGUACCUGCCCACACAGCACACAGCAGGAGUACUGAAAAUGCAC
Long non-coding RNA from Callithrix jacchus (white-tufted-ear marmoset), 2067 nucleotides. Lineage: Eukaryota; Metazoa; Chordata; Mammalia; Primates; Cebidae. The record is from Ensembl.